Pogonomyrmex barbatus (red harvester ant) is the source of this 501-nucleotide long non-coding RNA. The record is from RefSeq and is a predicted model, not a curated record. NCBI's taxonomy places the organism in Eukaryota, Metazoa, Arthropoda, Insecta, Hymenoptera, Formicidae.
GCCUUUAUCUCUAAGGGACUUUAAUUCUUAUUAGUUUCAAUAUAGACUCGAUACAGCAAAAAAAUGAUAAUUUUCUAUUUUAGUGAAUGUGAAUUUUUCAUAAUCAAAUUUUUUUAUGUGGUUCUAAUUUAAUACUUGAUAAUAAAAAAUAGUUGAAUAUGUGAUAUUAAAAGUUACUUGGAAUUACCUUGUGAUAAUUCUUGAUAUUUUGAAUAAUAUUUUCUUAAAUGCUAUUAUGGAUGAUUAGAGAAAUUUCAGAUAUUCAGUAUGGAAGAUUUGAGAGGAGGCAUUAUAUAGCAUUUCCGAAUAUUGGAUCUUAUGAUAUUCAGUCAAAUAUAGUUGGAUCUUAUGAUAUUCAGUCAAAUAUAGUUUGCUAAUUUAUAAAUUGAUUAAAGAAAAUUACCUUCAAGAAUUACUAACAUUACUGACUUAUCUUAAAUGUUAUAGAGAUGUUAUAUUGAUUGUAAAAGAGAAAUAAUGAAAAAUUUUAAGAGUUUUCCA